AGUUGUGAGGUGGCUAAGAAGUCAACUGCUGACUAUCAAAAGAGGAACCAUCCAAGUUCAUGAAUCCUUCUUUCUUCUUUUAGGAACCCUCAAUAGCAGAUGUAGAAGUGGCAUACCAGAUCAAGAAUCUUGAGAAAUGUAAUUUUCUUGUGUCUGUAUUGAUGGAAGAAAGGAUAUGAGUGGGAAAAGAAUUUCCUAGUCAUAAUCGCGGAAGCUGGUGAAAUGACAACCUGUGAUUUUCAGACUAUAUACAACUGUUAUAUAAACACUGAGCAGGUGGUUCUCAGUCUCAAGGCUAAAAACGAAACAAUCAAAUUGUUAUUGAUAGAGAAAAGAGAAAUGAAAAGGCCUAGAAUGUAAUGUGGAACAAAUACAUACAUAAAUGCUUUAUCUACUUGCGCUAUAUUUAUGAGCUUGUAUUGUAAGCAAUUUCUGAAUACGGGGGCAAAAUGUUUGGAUGACUGAGAGUUAACACUAUUUCUGAUGCAAAGCCUGACACUGGAGCUUGAGUUCUCUUUGACCUUCAUUUGUGUAAGACCAUGGAAAGCAAAAGAAGUACAUCCUGAGAUAACAAUGGUAUUGAUUAUUAGAAGUUGUGGAUCCAGAAGUAGACAAAACAGGCUCCAAACCAAAAUUUAAAGGGUUUGAGUCUAACUCAUUACCGGGGUAAUUUUCAAGCAGAGGUUAAGCAUGAUUGUUGAUUGUUAAUUAAUUAAUCCUGAUAAAACACAAAUAUCACUUUCCCCACUUACACAGAUCCAGUCAAUCUAUCCAUACACAAAUGCAGCUGAUAACCAAAGAAGAUUCUCUGCAAAAUUCUCCUAGUAGCCUUCAAAUAAAGGACAUUUGACAAGUGGAGGCUGGAAUACAUUUGUUAGAUUUUUAUAUUGCUUAAAAUCUACCUGUUUAUAAAAGUGGCUAUUAAAACUAGAGCUUCAUAAUUU
Molecule: long non-coding RNA, 944 nt
Organism: Pantherophis guttatus
Lineage: Eukaryota; Metazoa; Chordata; Lepidosauria; Squamata; Colubridae
Source: RefSeq, a predicted model, not a curated record